RNAcentral lists this ribosomal RNA (427 nucleotides) under uncultured bacterium. RNAcentral's name for it is "partial 16S ribosomal RNA". It matches the Rfam family "Bacterial small subunit ribosomal RNA", at positions 355 to 774 of the family's 1533-position model. The record is from RNAcentral.
UGGGGAAUAUUGCACAAUGGGCGCAAGCCUGAUGCAGCCAUGCCGCGUGUGUGAAGAAGGUCUUCGGAUUGUAAAGCACUUUAAGUUGGGAGGAAGGGCAUUAACCUAAUACGUUAGUGUUUUGACGUUACCGACAGAAUAAGCACCGGCUAACUCUGUGCCAGCAGCCGCGGUAAUACAGAGGGUGCAAGCGUUAAUCGGAAUUACUGGGCGUAAAGCGCGCGUAGGUGGUUUGUUAAGUUGGAUGUGAAAGCCCCGGGCUCAACCUGGGAACUGCAUUCAAAACUGACUGACUAGAGUAUGGUAGAGGGUGGUGGAAUUUCCUGUGUAGCGGUGAAAUGCGUAGAUAUAGGAAGGAACACCAGUGGCGAAGGCGACCACCUGGACUAAUACUGACACUGAGGUGCGAAAGCGUGGGGAGCAAACA